CUACGGGGAGGCAGCAGUAGGGAAUUUUCCACAAUGGACGAAAGUCUGAUGGAGCAACGCCGCGUGAACGAUGAAGGUCUUCGGAUCGUAAAGCUCUGUUGUAAGUCAAGAACGGGUGUGAGAGUGGAAAGUUGCGGUAGUGACGGUACCUGACCAGAAAGCCACGGCUAACUACGUGCCAGCAGCCGCGGUAAUACGUAGGUGGCAAGCGUUGUCCGGAUUUAUUGGGCGUAAAGCGAGCGCAGGCGGCUAGAUAAGUCUGGUGUUAAAGCCCGGGGGCUCAACCCCGGUUCGCAUCGGAAACUGUGUAGCUUGAGUGCAGAAGAGGAGAGUGGAAUUCCAUGUGUAGCGGUGAAAUGCGUAGAUAUAUGGAGGAACACCAGUGGCGAAGGCGGCUCUCUGGUCUGUAACUGACGCUGAGGCUCGAAAGCGUGGGGAGCGAACAGGAUUAGAUACCCUGGUAGUC
This 466-nucleotide ribosomal RNA is filed under the name Brevibacillus formosus. RNAcentral describes it as "bacterial SSU rRNA". It matches the Rfam family "Bacterial small subunit ribosomal RNA", at positions 339 to 795 of the family's 1533-position model. Lineage: Bacteria; Bacillati; Bacillota; Bacilli; Caryophanales; Paenibacillaceae. The record is from RNAcentral.